This 274-nucleotide ribosomal RNA is filed under the name uncultured bacterium. Its description in RNAcentral is "partial 16S ribosomal RNA". It matches the Rfam family "Bacterial small subunit ribosomal RNA", at positions 523 to 796 of the family's 1533-position model. The record is from RNAcentral.
AUACGGAGGGUCCAAGCGUUAUCCGGAAUCAUUGGGUUUAAAGGGUCCGCAGGCGGUCAAUUAAGUCAGAGGUGAGAGCCCAUCGCUCAACGAUGGAACUGCCUUUGAUACUGGUUGACUUGAGUUAUACGGAAGUAGAUAGAAUAAGUAGUGUAGCGGUGAAAUGCAUAGAUAUUACUUAGAAUACCGAUUGCGAAGGCAGUCUACUACGUAUAUACUGACGCUGAGGGACGAAAGCGUGGGGAGCGAACAGGAUUAGAAACCCCGGUAGUCC